Molecule: ribosomal RNA, 275 nt
Filed under: uncultured prokaryote
Description: partial 16S ribosomal RNA
Rfam family: Bacterial small subunit ribosomal RNA
Source: RNAcentral
CACGGAGGUUGCGAGCGUUGUCCGGAAUUACUAGGCGUAAAGGGCAGGCAGGCGGAUCCAUAAGUUUAUCGUUUAAGGCGUCGGCUUAACCGGCGUAGGGCGGUAGAUACUGUGGAUCUGGAAUGCGGUUGGGGAAGACAGAAUUCCUGGUGUAGCGGUGGAAUGCGCAGAGAUCAGGAGGAAUACCGAAGGCGAAGGCAGUCUUCCAAGCCGUUAUUGACGCUCAACUGCGAAGGUGUGGGUAUCAAACAGGAUUAGAUACCCUUGUAGUCCCU